This 468-nucleotide ribosomal RNA is filed under the name uncultured bacterium. RNAcentral describes it as "partial 16S ribosomal RNA". It matches the Rfam family "Bacterial small subunit ribosomal RNA", at positions 28 to 508 of the family's 1533-position model. The record is from RNAcentral.
GAUGAACGCUGGCGGCGUGCUUAACACAUGCAAGUCGAACGGAAAGGCCCAAGCUUGCUUGGGUACUCGAGUGGCGAACGGGUGAGUAACACGUGGGUGAUCUGCCCUGCACUUCGGGAUAAGCCUGGGAAACUGGGUCUAAUACCGGAUAGGACGAUGGUUUGGAUGCCAUUGUGGAAAGUUUUUUCGGUGUGGGAUGAGCUCGCGGCCUAUCAGCUUGUUGGUGGGGUAAUGGCCUACCAAGGCGUCGACGGGUAGCCGGCCUGAGAGGGUGUACGGCAACUGUGGGAGGGAGAGCCGCCCGGGAUCCUGAGGGGGGGAGGGAGGGGGAAUUUUUGAACAGGGGGCGCAAGCUGGAGGCGGCGCCGCGGGGGGGGGGAUGGGGGCUUUGGGGUUGUAACCUCUUGCCGCGGGGGCAGAGGCUUUUUGGGGCGGGUCCGUGGAAAAGAAGCCCCGCCAAACUAGGGC